ACAGAGGUCUCAAGCGCUGUUCGGAUUCAUUGGGCGUAAAGGGUGCGUAGGCGGCGAGGUAAGUCGGAUGUGAAAUCCCGGGGCUCAACCCCGGAACUGCAUUCGAUACUGCUUUGCUUGAGUAUGGGAGAGGAACGUAGAAUUCCAGGUGUAGCGGUGAAAUGCGUAGAUAUCUGGAGGAAUACCGGUGGCGAAGGCGGCGUUCUGGACCAUUACUGACACUGAAUCGCGAAAGCUAGGGGAGCAAACGGGA
This 253-nucleotide ribosomal RNA is filed under the name uncultured prokaryote. Its description in RNAcentral is "partial 16S ribosomal RNA". It matches the Rfam family "Bacterial small subunit ribosomal RNA", at positions 525 to 777 of the family's 1533-position model. The record is from RNAcentral.